Molecule: long non-coding RNA, 415 nt
Organism: Rhineura floridana
Lineage: Eukaryota; Metazoa; Chordata; Lepidosauria; Squamata; Rhineuridae
Exons: 3
Source: RefSeq, a predicted model, not a curated record
ACUCUCAUCCAUGUACUUACGUUUUCACAGCUAUUUUCAGAAAUGUCCAUUAACUUUUUGUAGCAGGAGAAACCUAGGCCUCAUUUAUAAAAAGAAUGAAGAACUUUCUACUGUGCCAUGUUGAAGCUGCUAAACAGGGAGGAAGAAAGAAUCAAGUAAAAUAGUAGAUUUUUACCCGUUGUGCUAACCACUCAUACGUUUUUAAAAAAAUGCUGGUAAUUAUAUCAUUUAUAGCUUCUACCUACUUGAUCUCUGAGUGGCUCACAUCUCAAACUGAAUGUUAAUUACACUAGAUCCAUAAUGGAAAGGAAAAUGACCACCACCUCAGCAUAAAUCAUAAGCAAAAUUCUCAGAUGGGAAAUGUAUUACUGUCUUGCAUAUCAAAAUGUACAUAAAUAAAACUUGGAAAAACUCA